RNAcentral lists this ribosomal RNA (597 nucleotides) under Vittaforma-like parasite isolate 5843. Its description in RNAcentral is "SSU rRNA". It matches the Rfam family "Microsporidia small subunit ribosomal RNA", at positions 282 to 912 of the family's 1311-position model. Lineage: Eukaryota; Fungi; Microsporidia; Nosematidae. The record is from RNAcentral.
UGGCAGCAGGCGCGAAACUUGCCCACUCUUUGCAGGAGGCAGUUAUGAGACGUGAGAAUGAAUAUUCAGUAAAGAUGAAUAGGAGAAUUGGAGGGCAAGUUUGGUGCCAGCCGCCGCGGUAAUACCGACUCCAAGAGUGUGUAUGAGAGAUGCUGCAGUUAAAAAGUCCGUAGUCGUAGGAAACGAAACAGGGAUGUGAAGUCUCGAUUGUGAGUUUUAGAAAAACCGAUGGGGAACAUAGUAUACCAGGGCGAGAGAUGAAAUGCCAAGACCCCUGGUGGACUGAGCGAGGCGAAAGCGAUGUUCUUGUAGGUAUUUGGUGAUCAAGGACGAAGGCUGGAGUAUCGAAAGUGAUUAGAUACCGCAGUAGUUCCAGCAGUAAAAGAUGCCGACAUGUCUAUUGGGAACAGUGGACAGGGAGAAAUCUUAGAGUUCGGGCUCUGGGGAUAGUAUGCUCGCAAGAGUGAAAAUUAAAGAAAUUGACGGAGCUACACCACAAGGAGUGGAUUGUGCGGCUUAAUUUGACUCAACGCGAGGAAACUUACCAGGGCCAAGUGUUGUGUAGAAACGAGCAAGACAGAAGUGGUGCAUGGCCGU